Molecule: unclassified non-coding RNA, 300 nt
Filed under: uncultured Teichospora
Lineage: Eukaryota; Fungi; Ascomycota; Dothideomycetes; Pleosporales; Teichosporaceae
Description: sequence contains 5.8S rRNA gene, ITS2
Rfam family: Eukaryotic large subunit ribosomal RNA (bases 244-300)
Source: RNAcentral
GUGGAUAAGAGACAGGUGAGUCAUCGAAUCUUUGAACGCACAUUGCGCCCCUUGGUAUUCCUUGGGGCAUGCCUGUUCGAGCGUCAUUUACACCCUCAAGCUCUGCUUGGUGUUGGGCGUCUGUCCCGCCUCGUGCGUGGACUCGCCUCAAAGCGAUUGGCGGCUGGUUUGAUGGCCUGGAGUGCAGCAGGAUUGCGCCCCUUGCCCGGAAGCCGGCUCCCAGAAGCUGAAAACCCCAUAUAUUGACCUCGAAUCAGGUAGGGAUACCCGCUGAACUUAAGCAUAUCAAUAAGCGGAGGA